CAUCUGUUUGUGAAAAAAGAUCAAAAUCAUACCUCCAACUACUAAAAUAAUUUCUUAGGGAAAAAUAGAGAGGCAUUUGAAGAUCAACAAUUAGAAAUAAAGAGCUAGCUUGGAGCUUGUUCCAAAGACAUAAGGCUUGUUUUCAUAGGAUUUGAUUUGAUUUUGCAAUUGCUAUUCAAAAUCAAGGUUUAUAUUGCUGACUUAGGAUUUAUGUAAUAUAAUUAGGGCUAGUAUUCUCGGCUAAUUUGUGAAAUUGGUGUUACAUCUAUAGUUAAAAAUUUGA
RNAcentral lists this long non-coding RNA (283 nucleotides) under Physcomitrium patens. RNAcentral's name for it is "long non-coding RNA (PPAT_LNC004431)". The record is from RNAcentral. Lineage: Eukaryota; Viridiplantae; Streptophyta; Bryopsida; Funariales; Funariaceae.